AAUAAUAGAACCAUCUUUAGCAAAAGUAUCGGUUCCAAUUGCUAAUAGUGCCACCACUCGGAAAGAAAUGCAUUUAGUUAUUGCGGAGGAGUGAAUGGCAAGUAGUGAUUGCAUAAAUUGGGGUUAGGUUGUCGUAGUCUGUGGAAAUAGUAGACAUCCCGCAGCGAAGAAAACAGGGAGCGAAUUUCAGUGCCAGGUCGUCAUCAAUGUGGUCGACAUCUGCGAGAACCCACCAUUUUUCCGCAAUGAACACUCGCAACGGAAAAACAUUUGUGUCUUCCAUUCUUCUCGCGAAUGUUAUUUAUGUCCUAGUCAAUAGUAGUUUCCAUCUUUACCGCUCGUCCGUUUUUUUUUACGCUUUAUUAACAUGCACAAUGAAUUGGUAAAGUAAGAAAAGCAAUUCAAAACGCAAUUGUUAUAUUUACUGAGGAUUUUCGAGAGAGUGAUGUGGAAAGUGAUUUAGAUAAUUUUUGGAAUGAUAUGGAAACAGAUGUUUUAGGAGAAAUUAUUAUUAUAAAAUAUCUAGACUUUAUAAUAUGUAUAUAUAUAUAUUUAUGCGCGUAUUAUUUUAUUAAUGAUGAAUUAAGUAUCAUUUGGAUUAUUUAUUCGAAUUUUAAGAUAUUUUUUAAUAAGGUGUAAAUUUAGUUAAGUGUAAAUUUUUUUUGCAAUUAAAAAAUUUUGCAGUCUGCCAUAAAAAUUACAUGUAUCCAACUUCCGUUGGUUGGUUUGAAUUUCAAAGAGAACACGAGACAAAUCGAAUUCCAGACUGACCUUUUACACGUUGUGCACGUUCUCCAAUUUCCCGGAUACCAAUACGUAUAUUUAAAGAAACUGUGUCCUUUUUCUAUGAUAUCGACGGAAUCCCGCAAUGAGACUGGCGCCGACCUCCCUCGAUGAACUAAGGAAACCAAAAAAAUGAAAGAAAACUGUCUCCUUCAAAAGACAACUUAACCUGUGUCACGCGCCAUCGAGGAAAGACAAGUGCCUCAAUAAAGUGUAAUCCGAAGCUAGGGACGCACAAUACUGUGCUCACGAGACUACAUCUGUGUCUGAAGUUAGAGUACAAUAGAUUCGUCCUGCUUUCGUAAUCGGCUGCCGCAACUUUUCGAAUCUUAAGUAUGGAGGAAAUACGGAUCUGGCACACACGUGCAGAAUUUUCUUUUGAACAAUUUUUAGAACCUUUUUAUGUAAUGUAAUAAAUAAACAAAACAAAGAAAUAAGAAACAAGAGUAAUGUCAAUGAAUGAUAAAAAAAAUAGCAUAUGCUCUAUCGAAGAAAGUCAUGGCAUAUUUUUAUUCAUAAAAAUUUUUAUUUUCACAGCAUAAAAUAUAAAGUUACAAUUUUAACAAAAUUGUACAACAAUUCAAUAAUUUUUUCUAAAUCAUUCUAAAAUAAAAUUCAAAUAAAAUAUUUAUUUUGCAAAGGGAUCUUCAGGAUGUCAAAAGAUUCGCAGAAGGUGAAAGAAAAUGAAAUAAGAAGGAAGAUGAAUCGAAGAUUGGAGUGUGAAAUACAAAGAGACAUGUAUAAAAAGUUCAAGUGGUUGCACAUGAGGAACGAAGCUUUUCGGUUACCUACGUCAACGAUUAGAGUCUCUUCUUUCUCCUUGGUAUAUACGAAAACCGAGGAAAACUCGUAAAUUUUCUAGGAAAAGAUCUGCAAUAAGAGACUGGCGCCAAACAAAUUUCAAGAAUUAUGAUGUAUGUAUGUUAAAGAGUAAGGAAUAGAUAAUAAAAAAAUGAAUGAUAAAAAGAUUUUGGAUGAAAACUUCGCUAAGCAUUUACACAGUCGAUGGGAGAAAGAUCCAUAUCGAAUUUCGUGUAAGAGCCUACCGAUUGACGCCCACUACUAUUGGCGAUCUCAUCGCGAGAAAUUCGAGAUGAGGGCGUAACCAGUGACUUCUUUCCCUUCUUGACAAACUUUUUUAUCCUCUCCUUCAGCGGUUCUUUUCGACUCUUUACCCAUUACUACCAAAAUGGCGUGCUCGACAUCAAACGACGCCGUUUUUGUUCCAAGAUACAAGAUAAUCGAGAUAUCAUUUAACAGUAAUAAAAUAUUUAUUACUAUUUACUUUUUUAGAACAGUAAUGUAGAGAUUAA
RNAcentral lists this long non-coding RNA (2096 nucleotides) under Apis florea (little honeybee). RNAcentral describes it as "uncharacterized LOC116414444". The record is from RNAcentral. Lineage: Eukaryota; Metazoa; Arthropoda; Insecta; Hymenoptera; Apidae.